RNAcentral lists this ribosomal RNA (497 nucleotides) under uncultured bacterium. RNAcentral's name for it is "partial 16S ribosomal RNA". It matches the Rfam family "Bacterial small subunit ribosomal RNA", at positions 28 to 507 of the family's 1533-position model. The record is from RNAcentral.
GAUGAACGCUGGCGGCGUGCCUAAUACAUGCAAGUCGAACGAACAGAUGAGGAGCUUGCGCCUCUGACGUUAGCGGCGGACGGGAGAGGAACACGUGGAUAACCUACCUAUACGACUGGGAUAACUUCGGGAAACAGGGGCUAAUACCGGAUAAUAUAUUGAACCGCAUUGUUCACUCGUGAAAGACGGUUUUGCUGUCACUUAUAGAUGGAUACGCGCCUCAUUAGCUAGUUGGUAAGGUAACGGCUUACCAAGGCAACGACGCGUAGCCGACCUGAGCGCGACGUUGGCCAGCCGGUCUCUGAGGAUCGUCCCCGACUCCUACGGUAGGCCGCAGCCCGGACUCCUCCGCAAUGCAGGAGUGGGUGACGGUGCACCGCGGCGUGAGGGCUGAUCGUCCUCUGACCGGAGAAUUCUGUUAUUCUUGAAGAUCAAAUGCGUAAUUAACUAUGCACAUCAUGACGGUACCGAAUCAGAAAGCCACGGCUAACUACGUG